This is a long non-coding RNA of Fopius arisanus, 589 nucleotides long. RefSeq lists it as uncharacterized. Lineage: Eukaryota; Metazoa; Arthropoda; Insecta; Hymenoptera; Braconidae. The record is from RefSeq and is a predicted model, not a curated record. The transcript has 3 exons.
AAAACUCUAUUUGCAUUUUAUUGAGAAUUUUAAUGAGUACGUUUUAUUUAUUUUGAUGAAAACCAUCUACCUCUGCUGGAAAAAUCAAUGGCAACAUCGCGGUCCACCCAAUAUUCUCCAUUUCAUCGAGCAGUAUAAAUAUUUUCCUCAAAGAACCCAAUGAAUCCCGAAACAAAAACGGCCUGUACAUACUCCUGUAGUUGUAGGGAAUGCAUCAAAUGAUAAUAGACACACGUGUGCACCAAAAAAAAAAACCACUGAUGAUAUGAAUCUGGGAGAGAGCAAGAUGUUGGUGAUGUGAUGAAAGCUCAGGGUCUCUGGCCGAUCGCCUCGGAGAAUCAGUUGGAUUUCUGGAGAUGUUGAUGAUUAAAAAAAAAUGUUAAAUCACCGUCUAGUUACGUUUUUGUGGAUUGACGAUUUACAAUCUUCAUCAAUUCUCUUUUUUCGUCUGAAUUGUUCUCAAUUCUUCUCAAUGUGAGAGAUUCAUUUUUGAUGGCGAGUCUGGGGAGAGAACUGGCUUUUGUCCUACCUUUGGGUGGCGGAAAAAGAGGCCAGGGAGACACUUUAAAAAUCCUUUUUAACACUGGAA